CUACGGGUCGCUGCAGUGAGGAAUAUUGCACAAUGGGGGGAACCCUGAUGCAGCAACGCCGCGUGGAGGAUGACGCAUUUCGGUGUGUAAACUCCCUUUAUAUGUCAAGAAAAUGACGGUAGCAUAUGAAUAAGCACCGGCUAACUCCGUGCCAGCAGCCGCGGUAAUACGGGAGGGUGCAAGCGUUACUCGGAAUCACUGGGCGUAAAGGACGCGUAGGCGGGUUGGAAAGUCAGGUGUGAAAUCCUACAGCUUAACUGUAGAACUGCACUUGAAACUUCUAAUCUAGAGUAUGGGAGGGGGAGAUGGAAUUAGUGGUGUAGGGGUAAAAUCCGUAGAUAUCACUAGGAAUACCUAAAGCGAAGGCGAUCUCCUGGAACAUUACUGACGCUAAGGCGUGAAAGCGUGGGGAGCAAACAGGAUUAGAUACCCUCGUAGUC
Molecule: ribosomal RNA, 440 nt
Filed under: uncultured bacterium
Lineage: Bacteria
Description: partial 16S ribosomal RNA
Rfam family: Bacterial small subunit ribosomal RNA
Source: RNAcentral